This 253-nucleotide ribosomal RNA is filed under the name uncultured bacterium. Its description in RNAcentral is "partial 16S ribosomal RNA". It matches the Rfam family "Bacterial small subunit ribosomal RNA", at positions 524 to 776 of the family's 1533-position model. The record is from RNAcentral.
UACGUAGGGUGCAAGCGUUAAUCGGAAUUACUGGGCGUAAAGCGUGCGCAGGCGGUGAUGUAAGACAGAUGUGAAAUCCCCGGGCUCAACCUGGGAACUGCAUUUGUGACUGCAUCGCUGGAGUACGGCAGAGGGGGAUGGAAUUCCGCGUGUAGCAGUGAAAUGCGUAGAUAUGCGGAGGAACACCGAUGGCGAAGGCAAUCCCCUGGGCCUGUACUGACGCUCAUGCACGAAAGCGUGGGGAGCAAAAGGG